AUUGAACGCUGGCGGCAGGCCUAACACAUGCAAGUCGAACGAGUGGCGGACGGGUGAGUAAUGUCUGGGACACUCCCUGAUGGAGGGGGAUAACUACUGGAACCGGUAGCAAUACCCGCAUACCAUCAGCUGUGCGUCGAUGGGAUGAGCGAGUUGGUGGGGUAACGGGUCACCAAGGCGACGUUCCUUAGCUGGUCUGCGAGAAUGACAAGCCAAACUGGAAUUGUGACACGGUCCAGAGUCCUACGGGAGGCAGCGUUGGGGAAUAUUGCACGAUGGGGGCAAGCCUGAUGCAGCGAUGCCGCGUGUAUGAAGAAGGCCUUCGGGUUGUAAAGUACUUUCAGUGGUGGGGCGUUACCUGCAGAAGAAGCACCUGCUAACUCCGUGCCAGCAGCCGCGGUAAUUC
Molecule: ribosomal RNA, 406 nt
Filed under: uncultured bacterium
Lineage: Bacteria
Description: partial 16S ribosomal RNA
Rfam family: Bacterial small subunit ribosomal RNA
Source: RNAcentral